Molecule: long non-coding RNA, 1066 nt
Organism: Branchiostoma floridae (Florida lancelet)
Lineage: Eukaryota; Metazoa; Chordata; Leptocardii; Amphioxiformes; Branchiostomatidae
Exons: 2
Source: RefSeq, a predicted model, not a curated record
CCUCAGAAUAUCUCUUUUCCACUUUGUCGGAGACGACUUGCACACUUUGCCAUCCGUCCAAUGCGCAGAUGUUGUUCUUGACUCCAAAGAAAGCCCUGAAGCUGUGUGCCGGGUGUAAGCUGACCCGCUACUGCAGCCGUGACUGUCAGAUACAACACUGGUCUGUCGGACACAAGAAGUGCUGUGGGCAUGACGCGUACACCGCAACAACUCCUUUCCAAAAUAUGGUUUCAAUAAUGGAAAAUCACAUCCGGGCAAAAGCACAUAUUAGCCAAGCCGUCAAAGAAUUCCCGGCCAUUUUUACUACUAGUCCCUCGACUUAAACCCCAGCUUGGAGAAAAAACUCAUUUUUACAACUUUGUGCAUCUUCAGCGACGGCAUGUUAUUUCUUCUCAUUCCACACAAUUAAAGACCUGUUGAUCACUCGAGGCCGCUACAGCAUAUAUCAAAUGUAGCAUAAGAAAGUGGAAUGUUACUAAAGCCUUAGGCUAAGCACUAAACGAUGUACUAGUACAUAUAUUGAAUUGAUGGUCAUCUCUUCCUUUUUUUUUCAGAGAUAUGAAUCGCUCAAGGUAUGAAAGUAAGAAGAUAUACAUGUAGAUGUAAAUGCCCCUUUGCGGUAUUGCACACCUAUAUGUAAAAGAAACACUUGACAGGAAUUGUAGAAGACGUUUCACAAGUGUAACGGCUCCGAUGAACUCUAAGGUGACAAGACUUUUAUCCAACACUUAAAGACUUUGUUUAAGGGAAGUUAUCAUAAGUAGGCCUUUUUAUGUCUGUUUGCACAUUGUAGCCAUUGGUCAGUGUUAUCAACAAUUGUGUAUGUAUGACAGUGCUGUCUUCAUUUGAUACAUGAAUCUGACUUGUCGUAUGCGUAUACAUUGUAUUAAUUUAAGUGUUGAAGCGCAAUAAUGGUGUUCUGUAGUCAUUCCAUGGUAUCAUCACUCUUGUUGCAACAUCUAAGCGGCCAUGUCUAUGAAUAAAUAACCACUACUGGGCACUUCGACAUAUUCAAGUGUAGUUUUUACCAUGGAUUAUUGUAAUAAAGUCGUUUUUGGCUCAUGAA